UGCUGUUGAUAUUUUCCAGCACCAAUAAUAGUUGCAGAGCUGCAUUUCUUGAUUACAAGAUCAGCAGUAGAAACACCUCUUUCAGUUGCGACGAUAGAAACCUCGACGACUGCCUCAUCGCCGACGAUUUGGAGGUGGAGUUUUUGCUGGAUUCUGACAUAACCCGGAUGCUUCAACAGAGUGGGGAUCCAUUUUCUGGAUAUACACCCUCUCGAACCCAAACACCUGAAUGUAAAGACGGUUAUCCAUAUCUGAAUUGCAAAUGCCCUCCUUACAUUUUGGUUGCUAAUUUUGAUGGCAUUUGUGAAUUAUAUGUAUUUUGGUUGCUCAUUAGUCCCACUAUUAUUAAAACGUUUUAAUUUUUAAAGAUUUGUGUAAUUGAUAAUUAAAUGUUUUUUUUUUGAAAAUAUAAUUAAAUGUUAAUUAAUGCUACAAUUUGAAAAUGAAAGAAUUACUAACUGUAAGAAUUGUUUAAAAAAUAUAGUUUUUUGAAUUAUUUCAUAUAUACAAAGUUGUAUACUUGGAAGUUUUUAGACAACUUUGUAAGAUAAAAACAUUUCUAAGUUUAUUGUCAUAAAAUAAUUAUAAGUCAUUUUAAAAUUUUUCAAAAAGAAAAAUAUUUUUUGAAAAGUGAAAUUAUAACUUUAUAAACACAGAUUUAUAUAAUGUUAAUACUUUGAUUUAUGGGUAGGUAUCAUCGUCAAUCAUCAAUAAUCACCAUGCACUAGUCACGAUCACCACUGCUAUUACUAUGACCACCAAAAUUUAUCAGUAUUAAUUUGAGAUUUAAUGAAAGAAAAUAAAUUAUUUUCCUGAAACAUAUUUUCAAAUCUUAAAUAGUAUUUUAACGGUGUGUAAUUAUGUUAAGUAAUUAUGUUAAAUAGUAUUUUUAUGAGAAAUUUCCUAUAUUAAGUAAUUAUAUUUAAGUAUGAAGUUUUCAUGAGUCACUAAAGCUCUAACGUAAGCUUACAUGUAUGAUUUCAUAUGAUAAGAAAUUUUCUAUGUUAAGUAAUUAUGUUUAAGUAUGAAUUUUUCAUGAGUUUCUUACGUUCUAAAGUAAGCUUACAAUAUGAAUUUAAGAAGACUAAAGAAUAAGACAAGUUUUAUGAUAAGUGUUAUGAAUUAAGAAUUAAAACAAGGAUUUUGGGCUCUAAUAUACUCGAUGUGAAUUUGAUGCGAGAUUUGAUUUUAUUAUGUACGAUAAGCAUGCUCGGCAUUUGAUGCCAUUAUGAUAAGAAGCUAUGAUCAUAUGCUAGGCACAUGGGUGUCUUAUGUUAGGGCGGACGCGCUCUAUAUGUUCUGAAAAGGUUGGCGACCUAAGGCCAUUNNNNNNNNNNNNNNNNNNNNNNNNNNNNNNNNNNNNNNNNNNNNNNNNNNNNNNNNNNNNNNNNNNNNNNNNNNNNNNNNNNNNNNNNNNNNNNNNNNNNNNNNNNNNNNNNNNNNNNNNNNNNNNNNNNNNNNNNNNNNNNNNNNNNNNNNNNNNNNNNNNNNNNNNNNNNNNNNNNNNNNNNNNNNNNNNNNNNNNNNNNNNNNNNNNNNNNNNNNNNNNNNNNNNNNNNNNNNNNNNNNNNNNNNNNNNNNNNNNNNNNNNNNNNNNNNNNAUGUUAUUAAUUAUAAGUUUAUUUGAUAUUUCGAAGGACUAAAGUAUUUAUGGUAAUUAAAUGUUUAUGUGAAGGAUUUAUGGUAUAAUUAGAACUAAAUUAUUCAUGUUAUUAAUUAUAAGUUUAUUUGAUAUUUCUUUGCUAUAAAUGUAAAUGUAUGUUGAAAUUUAAUGAUUCUAUAAUUAUCAAUGAUUUUAUGAAAUUUGUGUUUUAAAUAAGUUGCCAUCGCAACUUUGGUAAGUAUGUGAAUUAUGAGCACCACUGAGUUUUAUACUCAGCGCGUCGAUUUUUAUCACGCGUAGGUUGAAGACCAUGGUUGCUACUUGAAGAUUAGAAGAGUAGUAUCAGAGCAGAAGUGACUAUUUUGGUAGUAGUAUAUUGAGAUUUAUGUAUUUAAGAAUUAUGGCAUGUAUAAUUAUUACAUUUGUUAGAGCUUAUGUGAUUGGAAAUAUAAGUGAAGCAUGUAAUUAUUUUUGGUGUAUAUAUUUGGAUAUAACCAUAAGAUUUAUUAAAUGAUUGAAUAUGAAAUAUUUUAAGAUAGUUGGUAUGAUUAGUGCAUUAAGACUUGAUAUAUAUAAUGAAUGCAAUUAAUUGAUGGAUAUUAAACGCCAUCGAGGAUUUAUACAAUUAUGAAAAUAUAAAAGUGUUGUUGUAUUAUGAUGAUAAUUUGGAGAUGUUGGAAGUUUGAAGUUUAAUUGGGAGUGUUUUGUAUUCACAUGUUUGGCGAGCUCAGUAUUUAAAGGGAUAUUCUUUCAGUAUUUAUGUAGGAUUUUUCCCAAUCUAUAUAACAAAAAAGAUAAGAAAAUGAAAUGAAAUUACUAUUAUAAAAAAAAUUAUUACUCGCUAAACUUGUGAAUACUCAGUUACUUCUAAUUCAUAAUUUUAGUUUUAUGAUUUAUAUGUAGACGGUGCCUCCGGCACAGAAUGUGGCAUUCGCCGUCCGGUCUCUCGGGACUGGGCAGUGGGUGUUACAUAUUCUAUUUUUGGUGUUUAUUUUAUAUAGAGAAUUUUAAUAUAAAUGAAAAUUUUGGAAAGGAUGCCAAAAGAAAAAGUCUAAAAUACCCUUCAAUAACCCUUAUUACUGCCUUUAUUUCGGUUCAAUUAACAAGAAUAGUGGCAAACAAAAUGUGGGUUGGGCAAUUAAUGAACUUAUGUUUCCAAAGCAUGAGUAAUUGCUAUGUUUAUGAGCGGUUCAGUAGAAAUGUGCUCAACUUUACAAAUUUGAGCAUGAAUAAGAGUAUUGGAUCAGCCGGGUAUCCUAAUAUGGCCACACAUUUUAAUUAUUGUGCGUUAAUAAUAAAAAAGUCUUUAUGACUGAAGAAGUGUGCUCAACUUUACACAUGUGGACAUGAAUAUGACUAUUUUUUCUCAGAAAGUUUUUAUAAUACGGUCACGGAUUUAUAUUAUUGUAUCCUUCCUCCAAAAUCGCCUUUAAAUUGACACUGCACCUUACUAAUAUGGGCACAAAUUUUUGUCUUAGCGAAUAAACCCAAUGCCCUUCUUUCACAGUAUGAAGAAGAUAAGUUCAUCAUUUCUGCUUACUAGUGCCGUAUUUUUGAAAACGAUGUAAAUCUACUAAAUUUGAGAUUGAGGAAACUCUUUAAAAUUCUUAAAGAUUUUAACUAAUGAAUGCAUCCUUCAAAUACUCUAUUAAUGAGUUGUCUUUCUAACUAUUAAUUAUGCAUUGAAAGCUAAUUGGAGGUGUUAUUGGAAAAAAUAGAUAAAAAUUUCUAUUUAACUCUUUCCUUAAUCCUAAAAUUUGUUCUGAACGGAGGUAGUAUUAUAUUAAAAAAAAUGUAGGUAGUCAAUUCCAUAAGAUGGAGAUAUCGAUUUGCUUUUUGUUUAAAAAUAAUUAGUAGUUAAAAAAAAAAAAAAGAAGACGACUUUUUGUACAAAGUGUCUCAUUUAUACUAUAUUAGACANNNNNNNNNNNNNNNNNNNNNNNNNNNNNNNNNNNNNNNNNNNNNNNNNNNNNNNNNNNCAAAAUUGAAAGAGGAGCUGAUGAAUGAUAGCCUCCUCAGAAUAUUAUUAUUCCGUCAUAUCGACUCUGCAUAUUAGAGUAAGAAUAUAUACAAGUGUGUAUCUGUUAGAGUUAUUGCUAUUCUAACGCUACUAACAAAUAUCUAUUAGAGUUAUAUCUAUUCUAACGCUAUUUUGACUAUACAAAAAUAACNNNNNNNNNNNNNNNNNNNNNNNNNNNNNNNNNNNNNNNNNNNNNNNNNNNNNNNNNNNNNNNNNNNNNNNNNNNNNNNNNNNNNNNNNNNNNNNNNNNNNNNNNNNNNNNNNNNNNNNNNNNNNNNNNNNNNNNNNNNNNNNNNNNNNNNNNNNNNNNNNNNNNNNNNNNNNGAACCACAUGACAAUCAAUGUCGAUGUGUUUUGUUCGCUCAUGAAAAACGGGAUUAGCUGCAAUAUGAAUUGCUGCUUUAUUGUCAUAAUGUAACGGAAUUGGAGUAGGAACAGUAAUGUGAAAAUCAGUAAGUAAAGAAGACAGCCACCGAACUUCACAAACAGUUGAAGCCAUAGCUCUAUACUCAGAUUCGACGAAAGAUCGACUUACAGUCGUUUGUUUCUUCGACUUCCAUGACACUAAGGAAGUACCCAAAAAGAUACAACACCCGGUAACAGGUCUCCUAGUAUCCGCACAAAAGGCCCAGUCGGCAUCUGAGAAAGCUCGAAGCUUUAGAUCAUUUGAAGCUGGAAGAAACAACCCCUUUAAAUAGUACCAUGUAAAUACUUCACCACUGUCAAUGCUGCCUGGAAAUGCUGAUGGUGAGGAGAUUGCAUAAACUGACUUAGUUGUUGAACAACAUAACUAAUAUCAGGUCUAAUGAGUGACAAAUAUAAUAGUCUGCCGAUUAAACGUCUGUAACGUUCUGGGUCUUGCAAAGGUCUGCCCAUGUCGGAACUGAGUUUGAGUCCUUGAAUGUAAGGACUAGUUGGUUUGGAAUCUUGUAAACUUGUGUUUGUAACAAUAUCUGUUAUAAACUUAUGCUGAGUUAACAACAUUUCGUCCGUUGACCGAGCUAUUUCGAUGCCCAAAAAAUACUUGGCAUGUCCAAGAUCUUUAAUAGUAAAUGUCCCAUGCACAUAAGCCUUUAAUUCAUCAAUCAAAGCAACUGAGGGACUAGAAAUCAGGCAAUCAUCGACAUAAACCAAGACAGCAAUGAAUGUAUUACCGUUACCUCGAGUGAACAAACAGUGAUCAAAAGAGGAUUGGCAAAAACCUUCAGCUAUUAAACUUGCAGUUAAUUCCUUGUUCCAUUGUCUGCCAGCUUGCUUCAACCCAUAUAGAGGCCGUUGCAAUUUGCAAACUUGCCCUGGUUUGGCUUUCUCAUACCCUGGAGGUACCUGCAUAUAAAUGUCUUCAUCUAUAGAACCAUGUAAGUACGCAUUAUUGAUGUCAAGCUGAUGCACUGGCCAAGUAAAUGCAGUUGCAAUAGUUAAAAACACUCGAACUAUAACAAGUUUCGCAAUAGGUGAAAAUGUCUGGUUGUAAUCCAAGCCAAGAAGCUGAUUGCACCCUUUAGCAACAAGCCGAGCUUUGUACCUUUCGAUACUGCCAUCAGCAUUAUAUUUAACCCUACAUAUCCACUUACAACCAAUAGGAGUAACAUUAGAAGGCAAAUCAGUAAGCACCCAUGUAUUGUUUUGUUCUAAGGCAGUCAAUUCUUUAUUCAUGGCAAUUACCCAAUUAUUGUUAUUUUUAGCUUGAUUAUAAGUGCAAGGUUCAAUAACUUUGGAUAUUUGAGCAACAAAGGAUAAAUGAGAAGAAUUAAAGUGUAUGUGGGAACUGGUUUGUGGAUUAGUGACAAAAUCAGCAAGCCAAGCUGGGGGUUUUCGUUGUCUAGUACUUCUUCGGUUCGCAGGUUGGAAAACAGGGGACGAUUCUGCUGUGACAUGUUCAACUGAUUCAAAAGAAGCAGAAUCGGGUAUAUUCAAUUGGUCUAGUUGAGGUACACUAUCUCCUUCGGGUACAUACUGUUGGUCUAGUUGCGACACAAAAUCUGUCUCAGUGGAAGGUAUAGGAUACGAUAAAACAUCAAGGUCUGCAUCGGAAAUACAUGUAGGCAAACAAAAAUCAGUGACAGUUUCGGGUUUUGUAUGAUGAAAGGGAAACACUGACUCUGCAAAAACAACAUCCCGUGAAUUGAUUAUAGUCUUUAUAAUCAAGUUGUAUAAUCAAUAUGCUUUUUGCUGUUGAGCAUAACCAAUUAAAACACAUGGAGAUGCCCUUGGAUCGAAUUUCAGUUUAUGAGGUAAGGUAUUUGUAGCGAAACACAGAUAGCCUAUAGUACGGAAGUAACUGUAAUCCACUUGCUGCCCAUGUAGUCGCUCAUAAGGUGUUUGCCAAUUCAAGUUUUCAGAGGGUAAUCUGUUGGUAAUAUGGGUGGCAGUCAACAACAACUCAGACCAGAACUUGGGUGGAAGUUUGGAUUGAUAUAAUAAGGCUCGGCCUAUGUUUAACAAUGACCGAUGUUUCCGUUCGACAACUCCAUUCUGCUGCGGAGUGUAAACACAAGAUCNNNNNNNNNNNNNNNNNNNNNNNNNNNNNNNNNNNNNNNNNNNNNNNNNNNNNNNNNNNNNNNNNNNNNNNNNNNNNNNNNNNNNNNNNNNNNNNNNNNNNNNNNNNNNNNNNNNAAAAAAAAAUUUCAGGGCAGAGAAUACUUGAUCUUUACUUUUCAACAUGUAAGUCCAACAAAACNNNNNNNNNNNNNNNNNNNNNNNNNNNNNNNNNNNNNNNNNNNNNNNNNNNNNNNNNNNNNNNNNNNNNNNNNNNNNNNNNNNNNNNNNNNNUUGAAAUUCGGCUAGGUGAAAAAGGAAUUCUGGUUUGUUUGGCAAUGGGACAAACAGAACAAAUCAAAUCAGCAUAAUCACAUUUUGAAAUACCAUCAACAUGCUUCAAUCUCUUAUGAGCAACAUGCCCUAAUCUAGCAUGCCAAAGCAUAGCUAAAUGUCUAUCAUGUUCACCACAACCAGUGACAGAAAAACAACUUAUUUGCUUAUUAAAAGAAUCUCUAGUCACAAAAUAAAGAGCUUCAAUAACUCUUCCUUCUCCCAACACCUCCUUAGUCAGUAAAUCCUGGAAUAAACAAUGUUCAGGGAAUGAGUGUAUUGACAAAUGACAAGUCCGGGUGAGCAAGUUAACGGAUAACAAGUUGUAGCUAAAUGAAGGAACAUAUAGAACAUUGUACAAAAUUAUCCGAUCAUUCAAUUUUAUGUUCCCUAUGUGUGUGACUUUUCUAGUGGAGUUAUUAGGUAAACGAAUUGUUUUGGGUGGAUUUAACUGAAUAACUUGAUCAAGGAAGGAUAAUUUGGGUGUGAUAUGGUCAGUUGCACCAGAAUCAAUUAUCCAAUUAUCCUUGCAAUUAAAAUCAAUACCAGUAAUAACAGAAUUGAGUAACGUACCUGCGAAAUUCACGUUUCUAACUGCCUCCUCAUCGGUUUCAGGAAACCCUCCUUUAGCUUGAAGAAACUUUUGAAACUCCUGCUAGAUAUAAUCUGAUACCCCUUUGUCUUGAGCAUCAUUACCCCUCUGGUUUGAGACAUGUUGUUGCAGUGGAGAGUCUGUAACUGCAAUCUGUGCAACAUUAUUUGCACUGUAAUAUUUUCUCACAUCUACCCCCUUCUUCUUUUGUAACUCGAUGAACCAACCAGGAUACCAUGAAUUUGAAAACAAUCUUCUAUAGUAUGCCCACCCAUUUUACACUUGGUGCAAUACCUCUUUUUUCUAUCCUCUUUCUUGGUAUAACAAGUGCUCCUGUUAUUGUUUCUAGAGCUGCUGGCAUUGUCUGAAUAGUUGUUGCUUCCCCUUCGAGCCAUCAUAGCAACAGCAGUUUCAGCAGAUGUAACACUACUGGUUUGCACUUCUCUCUGCUUUUCUACGCUCAUAACCAUAGAGUAAGCCUUGUUGAUCGAAGGUAAAGGUCCUGCAAUAACACCUGGUUAUUCACAUUAUCGUACUCAUCGCCCAAACCCAUCAAGAACUACAUAAGCCUUCUGUUAUUGUCAUAAUCUGUAAUUGUAGUUCCCCUCUCACAGCAUACUGGUAAAGGAGCUAGACACAAUAGCCCAUCCCACUUCUUCUUAAGUUUUGUAUAAUACCCAGUCACAGAAUCAUCUCCCUGUUUGUAACCUGUAAUUUCUCUUUCAAUCUGAUAAACCAUAGGCCCAUUGCUUUCGCCAUAUCGCUGUUUCAGCUCAUCCCAGAGGGCUUUUGCGUUUUUGCAAAAAAUGAAAGCAUCGGAUAUUUCUUUUGACAUAGCAUUAAGCAACCACGACACUACCAUACUGUCCGCUGUCAACCACUUCUCAUAAUCAUCAGAAUCUGGUUCUGGGGCUUUUAUUUUCCCAUUUACGAACCCUAACUUUUUCUUAGCUCUCAGUGCUAUUUGUACUGCUCUGCUCCAGGAAAGGUAAUUAGGCCCUUUCAAAGGAACACUCACAAGACUAAAUCNNNNNNNNNNNNNNNNNNNNNNNNNNNNNNNNNNNNNNNNNNNNNNNNNNNNNNNNNNNNNNNNNNNNNNNNNNNNNNNNNNNNNNNNNNNNNNNNNNNNNNNNNNNNNNNNNNNNNNNNNNNNNNNNNNNNNNNNNNNNNNNNNNNNNNNNNNNNNNNNNNNNNNNNNNNNNUGAAAAGGAUCAAAGCAGCCAACAAAAAAGGAAUUUCAUAAAAUAGAAAUAUACAAAAUUGAAAGAGGAGCUGAUGAAUGAUAGCCUCCUCAGAAUAUUAUUAUUCGGUAAUAUCUACUCUGCAUAUUAGAGUAAGAAUAUAUACAAGUGUGUAUCUGUUAGAGUUAUUACUAUUCUAUCGCUACUAAUAAAUAUCUGUUAGAGUUACAGCUAUUCUAACGCUAUUUUAACUAUAAAAAAUAACCACACAAAUAUACUUUAUAUUUGCUUUCACAUUUUACAAUAUCAACAAUGAAUAGAGGUCUGCCGAAGUCCACUUUUGAACUUAAAUUGGUUUUGCGAUCACACUAAUUGGAAAUUGUCUGGAAUACCUGGGUAUGGGGCCAAUAUACUAGCUUUUAAUAGAUACCUUUGCAGUUUGAAGAUGAUGAAUUGAGCAGUAUUAUCAGUAGUUCAAAUUCACGAGUUCAUCAAUCUAAUCCAAUCUUCAGGACUAGCUAUUUGCUGUUUGAUUGUUCGCGCAUGUCCAUGGAUAUCCACUCAUUUCUCAAACCUAUCUCCUCCUUUCUCUUCAUUCUUUUACUGCGACACAUCAAAAUCGCCAUUUCUAAACCUCCUUACACUCCAACUGACAUAAUCCUUUCCAAUUGUGGCUUUUCAGGCCAAACAACCGCACCUGAUGGCAGCAAAUGGACUGGUGAUUUAAACUCCAAAUUUGGCCCUGUAGAUCAUUCUAAUUCAACCAAAUCAGUAUCCGCCAUCGCUCUUAGGCAAGGCAGCUCUGUCGCGUCUGUUCCUUACAUGACAGCUCGCAUCUCUCAAACCCAAUUCACUUAUACAUUCCCUGUUACUGCUGGUCAAAAAUUUAUCCGCCUCUUCUUCUACCCAUCUAAUUAUCAAGGCGGAUUUAACAAGUCUAAGGACUUCUUUGACGUCAAAACAGGACCUUUCACUUUACUCAAGAACUUCAGUGCCUCUCUUUAUUCUUCUAACCGGCAAGAGACUUUCUUUAAAGAAUUCUGCUUAAAUGUUGCAGAGAAUCAACAACUGAAUUUAACUUUUUCUCCAUCUUUCAAUUCCUAUGCUUUUAUUAAUGGAAUUGAGAUUUUAUCCAUGCCUGCUAAUCUUUACCAUACGCCACCAGAGAUUAAAGGUCUUAAAUUCAUCGGCGAAAGAGAACAGUUUUAUGUGGGUAAUGGCACUGCAUUAGAAAAUAUUUAUAGAUUAAAUGUUGGAGCAACCACCGUUCCGUCUACGAGUGAUACUGGCAUGUAUAGAUUAUGGGAUGUUGAUAACAUGUUCUCAAAUGUCGGAGCCCUUGUCGCUGAUGGUUCGGGUCUUUCUCUUAAUUAUUCAAGAAUUCCAGCUUAUAUAGCACCCGAUGAUGUUUACUUGACAGCUCGGCAAAUGAGAAUCAUUGAUACUCAUUUGACUUGGAUUUUACCAGUUGAUCGAGGAUUCAAGUACCUUGUAAGGCUUCAUUUUUGUGAAUUUCAUGAAGAUGUUGAAAUUAACAUGAGACGAUUCAAUGUCUAUUUCGACAAUCAGACGGCGAAUCUGGGUUUUGAUGUUAUUGAAUCAAGCGGUGGUGUGUUGACUCCUAUAUAUAAUGACUAUAUAUUCGCAACUGGGAAGGAGAAAGGAGAGGUUGCAGAUGAUUAUAUCAUUUUAAUAACUUUAAGGCCGAAUUCUUCUAGUAUGUUAGGUGAUUCUUUCUUGAAUGGGCUUGAAGUUUUCAAGUUGAAUGAUUCUAACGGUCAUCUUGCCGGACCUAAUCCUGUUGUGUCUGUCUCUCCAACAACUAACAAAGCGCCGGCCAGCCAGCCACCAUCAACAACAAACAGCAAGUCCAAUACUAAAAAGGUACUGUUCCUUGCAUUUGGUGGUGGUUUGAUAAUAAUUUCUUUGUUGGGUUGUUUAGUUGCUUGGCAACUGAGGAAGAGAAAGCAUCAUCAUGGAGCUUAUUAUAAAUCAUUAAGCUAUUGUUUGCGGUUGAAAUCUUACAAAGGUAAAUCAUCAAGGACAACAGCUUCUUCCUCUCUACCGCAAGAACUAUGCCGCCAUUUUUCACUAAAAGAGAUUAAAGAAGCAACAAAUGGUUUUGAUGAGAGUUUGAUAAUUGGUUCAGGUGGAUUUGGAAAUGUUUAUAGAGCUAAUUUUGAUAAUGGAGCUACGACCCUUGCAAUCAAGCGCUUGAAUCGAGAGUCUCGACAGGGUGCUCGCGAAUUCAAGACAGAGAUAGAAAUGCUCUCCCAACUCCGCCAUGUCAAUCUUGUAUCUUUAAUAGGAUAUUGUAUCGAUGGAGGUGAAAUGAUACUAGUUUAUGAUUAUAUGAUAAAUGGUACUCUUCGAGACCAUCUCUAUGAAAAUAACAAGAAACCACUUGAGUGGAAGCAAAGGCUUGAGAUAUGCAUUGGAGCUGCGCGGGGAUUUCAUUACCUUCAUGCUGGUGCUUCACACACUAUAAUUCAUCGAGAUAUAAAGACUACCAACAUUUUGUUAGAUGAAAAUUGGGUUGCUAAACUCUCAGAUUUUGGAUUGUCAAAAAUUGGUAUAAACAAUUCUGCAAUUAGUACUGUAGUAAAGGGUACAUGGGGAUAUUUGGAUCCUGAAUAUGCUCGACGCCAUCAAUUAACAGAAAAAUCUGAUGUGUACUCAUUUGGUGUUGUAUUGUUUGAAGUGCUAUGUGCUCGGAAAGCAGUCAACCGCAAUUUGGAUGAAGAUGAGGUGAAUUUAGUCAAUUGGGCGCGAAAAUGCAUCCAAAAUGGGAAUAUUCAUCAAAUAAUUGAUCCUGAAUUAGUAGGAAAAAUAUCUCCAGAGUGUUUUAAUAAAUUUGUAGAGAUUGCAGAGAGCUGUGUGCGUGAUCAGGGUAUUGAUAGACCUUCUAUGCAUGAUGUAAUGGAGAGGCUUCAGUUCGCAUUGGAGUUGCAGCAAGCUGCAGAUUCUGAGAAAGAAAAAGUGAAUCCUGGAGGUGAAUGUUUAUAUCCUAAAGUAUCAUUUCAUCCUUCUCGAUAUGCAAAUAUAUUUGGUGGGUCCGAGUUGGCUUCAAGUAAUGCAAGUGGGUUAAUGGAUCUUGAUACUGAUACAGAUAUUACUACUGGAUAGACUUUUCCCAGUACGUUGUCUGGUAGCUUAACGUCUAGCCAUGUCUUCUCUGAUACUAUCAACUCUUGAAGAAACUAGAAAUAUUGGUUUUCUGUCUUGUGAUUUUUGUAAUUGGGAAGUGUGUCUAUGUUGUUUGGUUAAUGUUUCUGUCUUAAUUUGUCUAGAAUGAUUAAUGUGUUUUUGAAAUAGUAGGAAUUGUUAAGAAAAUAAUCAUAAUACCAAAGUUGGGUAGUGUAGGCUUCUCAUCGAACGUCUCAUUCCUUAUUGUAAAGUAGCAAUCAUUAUUCAUAUGAAUCUAAAAAAAUUAUCGCGCUUUAAUCAAGAGUGGAGGAGAUCAUUAGAUUUUUUUUUUCUAAGAAAAACCAAAAAAAAAAAAAAAAAAGAGAUAAUUGGAGUAGCAAUGAAAAUAAAGCAGCCUCAUGUGGAUCAUGCAUAAGAUAAAAGAAAAGAAAAGACAUAUUAAGCGCAGAAAACACGUCGAUUAUAAAUCAACGUUGUAAUGCUAUGUGUGGAUACCUGAAAAUGGUGGUGCUGGUCUCAUUCUAAAACUAUAAAGAAUGACUUGGAAUAAUUGUUUAAGGUCAAGCUUAUUAAUUGUUUAAAUAAAUGAAUUAUGGUUGUAAUCAGGAAAGUAGAUUAAAUAUUUCAAAAAAAAAAAAAAGUAAAUUAAGGGUGAUAUGAUGGGCCAGGCUUUGCAGCCCAAAGUCAUGAGCCUGGGCUCCACCUUGAACAAAAACUUAAGGGUUCAGUGAGGAUUGCUCCACCUUGAAAAAUUAUAUAUUUUCAUUUAGAAAAAAAAAAAAAAAAGAAAGAUAAUUUAGUAUUUUUUUUUAGUUGUUAAAAUUAAUUAUUCUCUAAUUCAUAUUUAAUUUGGUGAGAAUUUCCAUCAUAAUUAAAAAAGUGAAACAAGGACUGCAACGCCCUAACGUCUUAUUAGUUUCUCCAUUUUCCAAUUCCACCACUCACUUGGCCAUCCUUAUUAAAUUUACAGUUUCUGCUCUUAACCAGACAAGCAAGCCAAGAAAUUCCAUGAAAAUGAAUGCAGAGAUACUUGCCCUUACUGGAGCUGCCCUAGGUACAAUCGUUUUAUUAUUUCUUAUCUGGUUCACAGUUUUCUUUUAUUGCAAAAGGAAAAGAAGCAGUGAAGAGCACAUGAUUCCCAUGCCGGAAGGCAUUUGCCGCCAUUUUACAGCUAAAGAGAUAAGAAACGCCACCACCAACUUCGACAGAGAUCUUCUAAUCGGAGAUGGAGAAUUUGGUAGAGUAUUCAAAGGUUACUUGGACAGUGAAAAAACCACACCAUUAGCUAUUAAAGCUCUUAAACCUAACUCAAGCCAAGGAUCUGAUCAGUUCUGGGCAGAGAUUGAGACGCUUUCGAAGCUCCGUCAUCCUCAUCUCGUAUCUCUGAUAGGUUACUGCAAUGAUCAACGUCUCAUGGUCCUCGUUUACGAGUACAUGGCCCACGGAACUCUGCGUGAUCCUCUUUAUCAAACGCAUAAUCCUCCACUCCCAUGGGAACAAAGGCUAGAGAUUUGCAUUGCAGUAGCACGCAUACUUCAUUAUCUUCAUGCUGGCGAUUCACAUACCAUAAUACAUCGAGAUAUAAAGACUUCUAACAUUUUGUUAGAUGAAAAAUUGUACUUUCAAAAGAAUACUUCCAUCCGGUUUUGAAACUGAGUUUAAAUUUAUAAUAUUUCACAUGUAUAAUUAAAAACCACUUUAGGAUAUUGUAAUCUUAACACCGACAUUUUGAAUUUGGCCUCCAAAAGAAAAAGAAUGAAAAUUCUUAGGGAAGUCACCAUUGUGGUUACAAUGCAUAACACUGGAGUUUUUUUUUUUUUAUUUUGUAAAAACGUAUUAAUGAAUAUAACUGCAGAGAUUGUCUAUAUAAUUAAUGUGGCAAGAUUUAAAUGAAUACAUUUUGUUAACGUUAUGCAAUAAUAAUUAAUUAUAAGGGCAGGAGAAUAUAGUAGACACAAAAAAAAAAAAAAAAAAAAAAAAGAGACAAAAGAAUCAUAUUUUAUUUUUAUUUAGUAUUAGGAGGGAAUUCGAACCUGAAUCUAUUACUAGAUAGUAUAUACACUUCCCACUAAGUUAAGUCAAAAUUUUUUUAAACACUUAUUUAUUGUAUUGGUAUAUAGAUGAGUCAAUCUACAGAUAUAAACAAAUAAUAUCCCCUAUUAUCUAACUUGAAUUUAUUUAUCACAAUCAUCUCUGCUUGAAUUUAUAUAUAUAAGUAUAUAUUAUGUAUAUGUAAAAGAACAGAAAGCAUGUAGAGAAAUGCUAAAUGAAAAGCAAAACACUUUCUUUGUUGGAAAUAAAUGUCAAUAAAAUUGAGUUUAAUUAAAUGAAUAAAAAGACGAACGACAGCCACAUAAGAGCUAAAAAGGUAAGGAGGCUUAUUAUCUGUGGAAAUAUCAACGAUUCUGGUUUCUCUAUCAAGUGAUAAUAUAGAGAACAACAUGACUAAUAAUUGUCGUGCUUUUACCAACAGCGAAGGAGAUAAUUUGGAGUGGCAUAAUUGUUAAAGAUGAUGGUGCUGGUCUCUUCUAAAACUAUAAAGAAUGACUUGGAAUAAUUGUUAAAGUCAGCCUAAUUGUUUAAUUAAAUAAAUUAGAUAGAAGUAAUAGUACAUACGUAUUUUAAGAUUUUGUUUUCUAAAUUAUUUUCUUUUCCUUUACUAAUUGAGAUUAUAAAUUUAUUUAUUAAAUGAAUAACCCCAUUUACAUUAAUUUCUUACUAAACCAUUCAGUUCAAGGGUGUGCGCCGUAAUUCUCAUACUAGUUCUUAGUGAGAGUUAAAAGUAGCUUUUCCAGGAAUCAAAGUCCCCUUUUUUCUUUUAAUUUUAUGUAAGAAGUAUAUCUUUAGCCCUGUCUUGUCUAAUAAUUUCCAAGCGAUGUUGCUCUGUUACAGAACCAAAUCAAACCAACCAUGAACGCGUCUAGCUGCCGUAGAAGACUUAGAAAAAAAGUGAAACAAGGACUCCUUUGCCCUCCAAGGCCCUAAUGUCUCAUUAGUUUCCAAUUCCACCACCACUUAUAGGAGAUAUUAUUUAAGUCAUAGUCUACACAUAUUAAAUAUCACAGCACCAUUGUCUAAUAAUCAUCACAGUCCAAUAUACUUAGCCAAACCCAUAGUUAGUUACUUGUACACUAAAUCAUAUAUACUCUCUUGUAAAUAGAUAUUUUGAUAACAGUGAGAAUUACAGUUUCCAGAUGCAGCAGAGAAUCAAAAAUCUCUGCUAUUUUCAUUCCUUCUUUCCUUUAUUCAUUUCCGUACUGAUAUUGUCCAUUGUUUUUUUAAGCUUGCUUAAUCCUGUUCAUGGUAUCAAAGCAGGUUAAUUGAUCUGUUUCUUGGAUUUCUGCAAUUCAAGAGUAAAAUUUAUUUUAGAUCUGGUUGAACAUCAAGAUGAUGACUCUAGAAGAUGUGGCAAGGCUUAUUGCUGCAGUUACUAGCAAAAAUCAUGAUAAUGAUCCUCUAAUGUGAAUAACUCAGAAUCUCCUGGAUUUCGGUUGGUGAAUUCUUCAUUAAAAGGACCAGAGGAUUAUCUCUCAUGGAGCAGACGUGUAAUGGUAGCUCUCAGGGCGAAGAACAAGCUAGGUUUAUUAAUGGAACCAUAGCUCAACCUGAUUCACAGUCAGAGGAAUAUGAGAGGUGGUUACAAGCAGAUAGCAUGGUAGCUUCGUGGAUCAUUAAUGCUGUAUCCAAGGAGAUAUCAGAUGCCUUUGUAUUUUGCAAAAUUGCAAAAAUACUUUGGGAUGAGCUAAAACAGAGGUAUGGAGAGUGUAAUGGCCCAAUGAUAUAUAAGAUUGAGAGAGAAAUUGCAAGUUACAAGCAAGGAAACGAGUCUGUAACAAGUUUUUAUACAAAUCUCAAAAGAAAAUGGGAUGAAUUACUGUGUUUGGCACCUUUGCCUACAUGUUGUGGUCAAACAAAUGCAAUUACAGAAUAUGACAACAAUAGAAGGUUAAUGCAGUUUCUAAUGGGACUAGGUGAUGAAUAUGACAAUGUAAAGAAUCAAAUCCUUUUAAUGGAUACAUUUCCUUCAAUCAAUAAAGCUUAUUCCAUGAUUUUGAGUGUUGAGAAGCAAAGAGAGGUAAAUACAUUGAAUGUGGAAUCCAGUGAAACUUCAACGGUAUUGUUAGCUAGAAGGAACUACAACAGCAAUUACAACAAUCUAGGUGCAACUGGUAACAGGAAACCAUACUACAACAAAUAAGAAGACAAGAAAGACAAGUAUUGCCUCAAAUGCAAAAUGAAUGGCCAUACCAUAGACAACUGCUUCAAAAUCCAUGGAUAUCCAGACUGGGUCAUUGAGUUACAAAAGAAAAGAGGAGGCAACAUGACUGGAACAAACACGGUGAAUGCAGUUCAGAUGGAUGAUACACCUCUGUAGCAGCAGUCCACACCUUUUGCAGCAGCAAAUUGAUUAUCAGAUGGAGCAAGUUGAUGCCGACAUCAAGAAUGUUCAUUUUGCAGGUACUUUACUCAAUUCUGUCAUUUAUAGCAUUGAUUUUAACUGCAAAAGUAACUGGAUAAUAGACUCAGGUGCAACAGACCAUAUCACUGCUAAUCUAUCAUUUUUUGACCUUGUACAUAAACUGAACCCUCCCAAAACCAUUAGACUACCUGACAAUUCUACCAUACAGGUUACUCACAUUGGAAAUGUUAAAUUGAACAAUAGAAUUACUCUAUACAAUGUGUUGUAUGUGCCUUCCUUCAGCUGCAACCUCAUUUCUGUAAACUUACUCACCAAAACAUGUCAUUUGUCUGUGCACUCAUUUCCCGAAUACUUCUUAUUCCAAGAUUUACAGACUGAGGAAUUACUGGCAGUGGGAAAAGAGUAUGAAGAUCUAUACUACAUGACAAAAGACUCUUUCUUUCAAAAUAAGGGAAACAAUAUGACAGCUCAAUGUAGUAGUCAUAAUAAACAUCUAGCAAUGUUGUGGCAUUCUAGAUUAGGUCAUAUCUCAAAUAAGAGAUUGAAACAUGUGAAUGAUGUACAUGACUGUGAUUUUGUGGAUAUGGCAUGUUCUGUUUGCCCUAUAACUAAACAAACCAGAUUACCUUUUUUCACUAGUCAAAUUUCUACCUUAAAACCUUUUGAGAUUAUACAUAGUGUUAAAUCUGUUACAAAUGCAGUGUAUAUGUUGACCUUGGUGGAUGAUUACUGCAGAUACUGCUGGACUUACAUGCUAACAACCAAGAUUCAAGUACCAUCUGCCUUGAAAUCCUUUUACUAGUUAAUUCUUACCCAAUUCCAACAAAAUAUCAAGAUCUUUAGAUCUGAUAAUGGCUUAGAAUUCAUAAAUUCUGAAUGUCAGAAGUUUUUCCUUGAAAAAGACAUUAUUCAUCAAAGAACUUGUGUAUAUACUCCUCAGCAGAAUGGAGUAGUGGAAAGGAAACACAGAACCUUAAUAAAUAUUGCUAGAGCUAUAUUCCACCAAGCCAAAUUCCCAACCCAAUUCUGGUCUGAAACCUUGUUAUCUGCAACCUACAUAUCCAAUAGAAUUCCUUUUGAAAAUCUCAAAUGGCAAACACCUUAUGAAAGAUCAUAUAAUAAACCUCCAGAUUAUUCUCACUUCAGAGUAAUUGGAUGUUUAUGUUACUCAACUAAUACACUGCCACACAAACUGAAGUUUGAGCCCCGAGCACAUCCUUGUGUGUUCCUUGGUUAUUCUCAACAGCAUAAAGGGUAUAAAUUGUACAAUCUCAGUACCAAAACUUUAUUCCAUUCCAGAGAUGUGAUCUUUAUUGAAACCACUUUCCCUUUUCACCACAAAACACCUGAAACCAUAACAAAUUUUACACUACCAGCUUGCAUUUCUGAUGCAUAUCUAUCCUGAAUUUCAUUUCCCACAACAACAUUUGAUAUUUUUCCAGCAAGUUCACACAGAAAUACUUCACAAAUACAUCCUCCUUCCCCACCAAUCAUAGAAAAUGAUACAUCUCCCUCAUCUUCAGCUAAUAGAACACCUAAUUUGUCUCCACAAGGCAUAUCACAGCCCAAUUCUACUGAACCAGCUAAUAUACAACCAAACAUUCUUGAAUCAUUAUCAGCAGAUCCAAUACAGGCUCCUGUUUUAAAAAAUGUCAUCAGAACCAAACAUACACCAGCUUUGUUACAAGACUUUGUGGUUUCUCAUAUCUCCUCCACUCACACACUAGCUUCUAGUCAUUUCACACCCUCACACCUAAACUUUGUUGCACAUGUGUCUAAAGUCCAGGAACUUAGAAAUUAUAAUCAAGCUAAAAAUGAUAAAAAUUGGGUAAAUGCCAUGCAUGAAGAAUUAACUGCUCUUGAAAACAACAAUACAUGGAUACUAACUGAGUUACCCCCUAAUGUAAAACCUGUGGGGGUGUGUGUGGAUAUACAGGAUAAAGGAUAAACCAGAUGGAAGCAUUGAUAGAUACAAGGUCAGACUUGUGGCAAAGGGUUCCAGCCAGUUGCUGGGUCUAGAUUACAACCAGACCUUCUCUCCUGUGGCAAAGUUAGUAACUGUAAGAGUAUUCUUAACUGUGGCAGCAGCUAAAGCUUGGCCUGUUCAUCAACUGGACAUCAACAAUGCCUACUUGCAUGGGGCCAUUGAUGAAACUAUAUACAUGCAAGUACCACCAGGUUAUGAUAAAGCUCACAAAGGUCAAGUAUGUAAAUUGCAGGCAGGAAGACAAUUGAAGCAGGCAGGAAGACAAUUGAAUAAGGAACUUUCUGUAAGCUUAAUUUCUACAGGUUUUCAACAGUCCAUGUUUGACAACUGCAUGUUCACAAAGGGCAAAGGAGAUUCUUUUCUUGCUAUUUUGGUCUAUGUUGAUGAUUGUAUUAUAACAGGACCAUCCGAGGAGCUAAUUCAAGACCUCAAAGACUAUCUUCAUCAUAAAUUUACUAUAAAAGACCUGGGAUAUGCCAAAUAUUUUCUAGGUAUUGAAAUUGCCAGAUCAAAUGAAGGAAUUCUUCUCACUCAACACAAGUUCAUCAUAGAUAUCAUCAAAGAUUCUGGAUUGCAUAAUGCAAAAAUAAGCUCCAGUCCUUUCAUUCAGGGACUAAAGCUCAGUUCAGCCAUGGGAUCUCCUCUCUAAACUCAAGAUGUUUUCAGGAGACUUGUUGGCCGACUUCUGUAUUUGUCACUUACCAGACCUGACAUUAGCUUUACUGUCCAGUAGCUAAGUCAGUUCAUGCAAACACAUGAUCAACAACACCUUAAGGCUGCAUUGACAGUGGUCAAGUAUUUGAAGGGCACCAGUUAUAGAGGACUCUUCCUCCCAUCACAGAAUGACAUGAAGCUAAGAGCUUUUUCUGAUGCAGACUGGGCAUCAUGUGCUGAUACAAGAAAAUCUACCACAGGAUGCUGUAUUUUCCUAGGCACUGCUUUGGUCUCAUGGAAAUAAAGAAAAAGAACACAGUCAGCAGGUCCUCUGCAGAAUCUGAGUACAGGUCCAUGGCUACAACAGUUUGUGAGAUAAAAUGGCUGGAUUCCCUUCUCUCUGAUUUCCACAUUGAAAUUCCAAAACCAAUACCACUUCAUUAUGACAACAAAGCAGCAAUUCACAUAGCUGCAAACCCAGUUUUUCAUGAAAUAACCAAACACAUUGACAUUGAUUGUCAUGUUGUCAGAUCCUAGCUUCUCUUAGGCUUCAUUAGCAUACCUUACCUACCUUCAACUUGGCAACUUGCAGAUGUGUUCACUAACCCCCUGUCCACAACCACAUUUCAGUCAUUUUCUUCCAACCUUGGGUCGGUUGACUUCUCCCCACCACCAGCUUGAGGAGGGGGUAUAGGAGAUAUUAUUUAAGCCACAGUAUGCACAUAUUAAAUAUCACUGCACCAUCGUCUAAUAAUCAUCACAGCCCAGUAUACUUAGCCAAACCCAUAGUUAGGUACUUGUACACCAGAUCAUAUAUACUCUCUUGUAAAUAGAUAUUUUGAUAACAGUGAGAAUUACAGUUUCCAGAUGCAGCAGAGAAUAAAAAAUCUCUCUGCUACUUUCAUUCCUUCUUUCCUUUAUUCAUUUUCGUACUGAUAUUGUCCAUUGUUUUCUUAAGCUUGCUUAAUCCUGUUCACCACUCACUUAACUACCCUUAUUAGAUUUACAGUUUCUGCUCUUACCCAGACAAGCAAGCCAAGAAAUUCCAUGAAAAUGAAUGCAGAGAUACUUGCCCUUACUAGAGCUGCACUAGGUACAAUCAUUUUAUUAUUUCUUAUCUGCUUCACAGUUAUCUUUUAUUGUAAAGGAAAAGACACAGUGAAGAGAACAUGAAUCCCAUGCCGGAAGGAAUUUGCAGCCGUUUUACAACUGAAGAGAUAAGAAACGCCACCAACAACUUUGACAGAGAUCUUCUAAUCGGAGAUGGAGGAUUUGGUACAGCAUUCGAAGGUUACUUGUAUUGGAUAUCGGUGUAGUGAUAAACUCCAAGAUUGAUUAAUAAUUUCUAACAUAAAAAAUAAUAAUGGAAAGACAACCAAAAUAAUACUAACACAGAACACCAAAAUAAAAUUAUAUUAAUAAGAAGCAAACUUUCACAAAACUUAGGGAAAGAAUUUCUUACUUGUUUGUUGGACACAUGCAACACAAAAGAACUAGCUUUUUUAUACUAGUGAAAAAGUGGUGAAGGUCUGAAAAAUCUUAGACCAAUAAUUAUUUUUUAUUUUAGUAUCUAGAUCUUUCUCUAAUAAUAUCUAGAUUUUUUUCUUUCUAAUUAAUUCUACGCACAAAUGAUGUAGAUUUUUAUUGUCAAAGAUUCUAGGCACCAAUUAUUAAAUCUUGGCAAAUUAAUUAUCUAGAAAAUUGUAGUUUAUGUCAAAGAAGACGGUGAUAAAAAACACACCAGUAGCUUUUAAAGCUCUUAAACCUAAUUCAAGUCAAGGAUCUAAAGAGUUCUGGACAAAGAUUGAGAUGCUUUUGAAGCUCCGUCAUCCUCAUCUUUUGUCUCUGAUCGGUUACUGCAAUGAUCAACGGCUCAUGGUCCUCGUUUACGAGUACGUGGCCCACGGAAACCUCCGUGAUCAUCUUGAUCGUGGUCAUAAUUCUCCACUCCCAUGGAAACAAAGGCUAGAGAUUUGCAUUGGAGCUGCUCGUGGAAUAAAAUAUCUUCAUGCAGGUGCGGAGCAUAGUAUCAUAAUCCAUCGUGAUAUCAAAAGCACUAACAUUUCACUUGAUGAAAAGUGGGUCCCAAAAGUUUCUGAUUUUGGACUGUCGAGAUUGGGCCCUACAAGCUUAUCUAUGAGCCACGUAACCACCGAUGUAAAGGGUGCAUUUGGGUAUUUAGAUCCUUACUAUUUCACUAACAACUUGAGUGUAAAAUCUGAUGUGUUUAGCUUUGGAGUAUUACUAUUUGGAGUAAUAAUGGAGUAGCAGUACCAGGAUGUACCCGUCGUCAGAGUCCAUCUUAUAGAUGCAAAUGCCCUAUCUACAGACCUAGAUGCUAAUUAAGCAACGAAAGAACAGUAUAUAUUACAGUAUACAAAGCAAACCGGUUCCAUGUAUUAUUCUAAUUAAUAUUUAUGUUGGCUUUGCAAUGGUGUAUUGUAAGUGUUUUUCCCUCAUGUAUUACUGUAUUUGCUCCCAGUAAAGGAUGAUUGUUUGACAGAAUUCAACUUGUUUAUGCACUAUCUUGAUUUUUUUAAAGAUUUUAAAGGAACCCUUAGAAAAAACUUGAAGAAAAAUCAAGAGAGAAUUGUCGGAGCUUGAAACUCAAUUUGCAGUAUUACACCGGACAAGACACACAUUUGACCCAUACUAUUAGCGUCAGAGAAAGAACGAUUUGAUGUCUGUUUGCCAUAAUUUGAUUGUUAUGGUUUUGAUAAAUACUAGUAUUAGUGUGUGUUUCUCUCCUACGAAAAGUACUAUAUGUCAAAGGCUAAGUCAUGCGUUCACAUCAAUUGAUUGCCAUUUGUCUGGCAGUUCAGGAGGAGAUUAGAGUUUUAACCUGCAGAUGUAAACUCAUAUAGAUCCCAUAGAAGUAUUUUGGAAGACAACUUUUAUGUCUUUCCACAUAUGUGACUGUAAAUAAAUUAAAAGGGCCAAGCAUAGAUCUCCAUUCGUUUUCUUAUUUUUAUGCAUCUUUUUAUCUUCUUUGCUGCUUAUUCCUAAGACAGAAGACACCUUUGAAUAAUAAUUAGCAUUCAAAUUAAGUUAAAUGAAUUUGAAUUGGUAUUAUUAUUAAACUAGUCGUUAUUUCGCAUUUUGCACUCGGAUGUUAUAUAUUUAAAUAAAUAUUAUAUAUAAAUGUUAUAUAUAAAUAAAUAUUAUAUAUUUAAAUAAAUAUUAUUAUCAAUUACGUUAUUAUUUUUAAAAAGUUUUUAUUUUUAAUAUAAAUAUCAGAAAAGCUUGAAUACAGAUUUUUUUUUCUUUUUUUUUUUUUUUUGUUAUCAGUUUGGUUUUCGAGAAUAUACGAAAAAUGAAUUAGGGUAUGAAAAAAUUGAACUGUAUGUUCUACAUAUAGAGAGGUCGAUAUAGGCAUAAUUUUUUAAAAAAAAUUUAAUAAAUUCAAAAGUUAUAUUUUUAGCUGGAUCAAGUUGGAUGAUUGGAUAAAUUUUGGUUUCAAAAAUUAUCAAAUAUCAUUGUUAUAUAUUAAAUAUUAAAUUAAAAAAUAAUUACGUUGACAAAUCAAAAAACAUAAAAAAAUAAGGGAAAAAAAGUAAAAAACACAAAAUUUUCUAAAAAAGAAAACUAGGAUAAAGAAUGAAGAGAGCACCUUUGAAAUAGGCUCUGCAUGCUGAUAUUUAUACUUUUAAAAAUAAUUAUUAGUUUAUUGUCAUAUUAAAAUUCAGAGAUUUUUAAUUUAAAAAUUGAACUUUUAUAGUAGUUUUAGAUAAUAACAUUUAUCAUUUUAUUAAGUCAACCUUGUUUAAAUGAAAAGCAUAUUACAGAUUUACAUUACAUAUAAAUAUAUAGAUUUGCUGAUUAAAGGAAGAAGGAUUUUCCACUUUCGGAAUAAGAAUAAUCUGAGCACUGCCAAAGGCUUUCGGAAUGGGCAAACCCAAGUAAAACUCCUUCACUGCACUACACACAUCUCACUGUAUUAUCUCCCAACACUCUCUGUAGAAUCUGCCAUCAAAACCAUCAGGUCCAGGAGCACUAUUUGGAUCAAGCUGCCAAAUAGCCUGUUUAAUCUCAUCCUCAGUUGGAGAUCUUUCAAGGUUUUUGUUAUUUUCCUCAGUAACCAAAGAUGGUAAGUAAUCCAGAAGAGGUUGAUAAAUCUGCUGAGUAUCACUCCACUUGAAGAGAGAAGAAAAAAAAGUGACACCUUCCGCACCCAAAUUAGCUUGAUUAGAAAUCCAUGUCCCUUCCUCGGUCUUAAUAGUGGAAAUACGAUGAAUUCUCCUAGUCAUCUUCACAUAAUUAUAGAAAAAUUUUGUAUUUGAAUCACCAUCAGCGAGCCAUUUAAUAUGAGCUUUUUGCUUCCAGAAGGUCUCCUCAAUCUUAAGCUUUCUAAUCAAGUCACACUGUUUCUCCUGCCAGACUUUCCUGUUGUGCGAUGAAGGGGUUGUAUCAAAAGUAGCUUCAGCUAAUUCCACUUCCUUUUCAGCUUCUUGAACUGCAUCAAAAAUAUUGCCAAAAGUAUUUUUGUUCCAUUCUCUAAUUGCCUUUUUCAAAGCAAAUAACUUAAGACAAAGUCCACGCAUGCCUCCAGGCAAAUUUACUUUUGCUUCAGCCUACAAUUGUGUUAGAGAGAGUAAAGUUUCUUGCCUUUCAAGCAACGCUAUUUGGGACUCAUCUUUCCCGCUUAAGCUUUCCAUUUUUACAUGGAAACUCCUCAGGGGAGCUUUACCUUUGUCGCGACGUCUUCAAUUAUUUGGGAUUUAUGGUCCAUCCCGGUGCCCAUUUUGCUUCAAGUCGGAGACAACUGCUGACCACCUUUUUUAUUUCUGCCCCAUCAUUGCUAAACUUUGGAAUUACUUCGGCUCUUUUUUCCUAGAUACUCUUGAGUCACAAAAUUCUCUGCGGUAAGCGUUGAUCUUUUGGUGGCUUUGUGACAGACCUGAUUCGAGUUUGGGUAAGCUUAGGCGCUUGGUACCACAGGUAAUAGUAUGGUCUGUGUGGAAAAUGUAUUGUAAGUGUAAUUGGGGUAAUAAAGCUUGCUUUCCAGACCUCUUUUUACAAGAUAUCAGUAGGUUGCUAUUAAACUGGAGCAUUGCCAAUUCUGGUAAGAGAUUUGCAGCAACUUGGCCAGCAAAAGAUGAUUGCCACUUCAUUUCGGCUUCUUUUGGCAAAUAAAAAUUAAAGCCAAUGAUUAUUACUUGGAUUCGACCUAGGCAAGAUUGCUAUAAACUGAAUAUUGAUGCGUCUUUCAACAAAUUUUCAGCAGCGGGGGGUGCUAUCCUCCGAAAUAGCCAUGGUAAUUUGUUGCUGCCGCUUGUUUUCCGAUUGAUGCCGGAAUAGCUUAUGAUGCAGAGCUUGAGGUUUUGAUUUGGAGGCUUUCUUGGAGUAUUGAUAAAGGUUUUUAUCCCCUCCAGGUGGAAAUGGAUUGUAUGGAACUAGUUGCUCAUAUUAAUUGGGCACAGUGGAUUAGAGCAGGCCCUUCGGUUUUGCUGCGUGUUGCUGAUUUGUUACAUCUUCACUCAUCUUCCAUUCAUCACAUAUAUCGUGAAGGAAAUCAAGCUGCUCAUUUUUUGGCCACUCAUCACAGACUUCAUCAUACUUCUCUUUCUUUUACCUGUUUUAUUUCUUUGCCUCAUUUGCUUAAAGGAAUUGUAUUAUUGGAGGCUAUAGGGACUACAUAUUUGAGAUAUAAAUAAAAUAAAAAUAUCUUUUAUAUAUAUAGAUUUGCAUUAGGAGAAAUUUCUAUGAACAAAAUUAAAUGGUUUGAUACUUUUGUUGUCAAAUCGUAUAUUAUCAGGAUAUUACAAUAAAUAAGAGCUUCAUCCAAAAUAUUACUCACAUCAUUAAUAUAAACCAAAUUCAAAUAUAAUCUUUAAGAUAUUAAAUAUUAAGAAAGAAAAUAUCCAUAGAAAAUAUUAAGAGAAAUUAUUUUUUCUCAUUUGGAAAGGAUGGAAAAAAAAAAAAGAAAAGAAAAAUAUGUACUAUUUUUCUAAUGAACCGAGAAAAUUAAAAUUUCUUUAAAUUAGAGAACAAAAUAAUGAAUGAAUUAAGAAACUAUAUUGUUUAAUGUGAAAUUUAUUUAUUUUUUCUUUGAUUAUUUGCUUUCUUUCAUUUCUAAAUAAAAGAAACUUAAUUAACUCUAUAAAAUUGCCAAUGAUUAAUAUUGACAAUUCAUAGCUCUAAACAUUUUUUCUUGAGGUUGUGCAUUUCGGUUCUGACCCAAUUCUCAACAAGACUGAAAAUUAAAAUUGUUGUUCAGUUCUUCUCAAAUUUGAAAUUGAAAUCAAAACCGAAACUAAAUGAUUUAGGAACCAAAAUUAGAAAACAAACCAUAAUUUGGUUCAAUUAUAGUUUAAUCCUUAUGUUCUUUGAUUUUGAUUUAUCGAUUCUAAUUUCAAUUUCAUUUUUCAUAUUAAAAAUCAAUAUACUAUCUCUGUAUUGAUACCAUUAAAUUAAAAUAAUUCAAAUAUUAAACAAAGAUUACAAUAUAUAUAUAUAUGUGUGUGUGUGUGAUAAUGCAAAUUAUAAGAUAAUUGUAAUAAUAUUGGAUAGAAUAACCUCCAAUAAUUUUUUUCGAAGGGAUAAAGUAUUUUUAAUGUAACUUUAUUAAAGUUGCCAAACGAAAUAUAUUUCACAUGAAUCACGCUCAUGGGGAACAAACCUUAUCUUCCCUCAGCCAAUCUCGAUUUUUCUUUUCCAAUUAGGAUUUUGUUUCACAAGUUUUCACAAAUAAAAAUUUUAAUUCAGAUAAUAUUUCUCUUUAUAUGUGUAGUUUUUUUAUUAAUUAAAUAGAAAAUAUACGAUACAAAACUGUUACAAAUAGGCUGAAUACAUAAUUUAAUUCUCGAAUUUUGACAAAAAAAUUUUUUAGUACUCUAAAUUUAAAAAUUAACUUUAUGACAAGUUUAAAUAUAUAAUCUAUAAAAGUAUUAUAUGGCCUCUUGAAUCUUAAAAAUGACUUUGUAUUUUCUUGAAUUUCACAUUUAAUCGUAUAACUACUUGAAUUCUAAUUUUUUUAUACUCGUGGAUCUCUGAAGUUGAUUUACAUUUUAACCUGCAAGGUUUGGGAUUGUCCCUAUGUAUAUAUAUAUUAUAUAUUCACCAAAGUUCACCAAAGUAUAAAAAUCAACUACAAAGCAGGGUAACCGUUGAAAAAACAUGAUGAAAAAUUAGUAUAUUUUUGCAAAAUAGAAUGACAAAAUAGUAAUUUCAAAAUUUUCAAAAUUUUUUAUUUAGAGGCAACGAAUUUCUGACAACUUUACAAAAGAAAUGUUGGAACAUCAGUGACAGUGGCAGAUAGAUUCCAUGGCUUUUCUUUUUCAUUUUCCUUCUUUUAGUUCCAAAGAAUGAUCACUUCCACUUCUUUUUCAAUUGUAUAACAAUUUUAUAACCUUAAUCUUUGAUUAAAUUUCUAAACGUAUAACAAUUUAUGGUAAAUGAUAUAUAUGUUUUUUUAAUUUAUAAAUCACAAAUGUUGCAAAAAGUGAAAAAAAUAUUUUAUUUGACGAAAAACCAAACAAGGCCCAACGCAGUCAAAAAGAAAGGGACGCACUAAUAGCAUCAAUCAUUGAGUGAAGAGGCAAAAAUGCACCUCCCAAUAUUAAAAAAAUUGACGCACUCACUACUACUUUCAAAAAAAAAAAAAAAAAAAAAAAAAAAAAGUGUAAGUGUGGAAUUUGCUUUUGCUUUUGCUUUUUAGUUAAUUAAUGGAUAGCAAAUAGAAAGAGCACCAUGUGGAUUGUGGACUGUGCUUUUACUCAUUUAAAGACAAAAAAAAAAAAAAAAAGGAAAACUGAGCCUUCAAUUUGGAUUUUCGAAUAAAGCAUGAAUUUUGUGGACCUCUUCUCACCAUCUUUACAAAAAGCUUUUAAAUAAUUAAUUUAUGUUAACAAUAAGAGGUAAAGAAUUUAAGAUUAUAGCAUUAAUUAGGAAUUUCAACGCCCAAAUUCUAUCUUCUAAUCAUUAUAUUUAAGGAACCCUAUAUCCUAAAUAAAUAGCUAAAAAUUGUUAGUAUAUCAAAAAUAAUAUUUAUUAGAUCAAUUUUUUAAUUGAAUUUGAAUAAAUUCAAGUAUAAAAUGUGCAUUAAAAUUCUUAAUUGACAGGAUCAAUUUUAUAUAAAUUGUUUGAUAAAUUUAAUUUUGAUUUAAUAAACAUAUUUUAAUGUGAUGAGAAUUAUAACAAUUAUUUCACAUUUUCUAAAAUAUAAUUGCAUUUUCCCUUUUUCUUUUUUUGAAGAAAAGAACUUGUAGAACAAUUAUUUCACUUCUAGGUUUUAGUGCAUCGGGUCAUAUUUGUAAGUCCACUCCUCCAUGAGUCUAUAUAUACACAUACUGAGUGUAAGGUGACAAGAAAUGAGCGGAGAGAGGAUAAGAGUUGGAAAAGAAAUGGGUGUUAAUAAUAAUAAUAAUACUCUUCUUGUAUUAUUGUUGGUGCUGUUAAUAUUUUCCAGCACCAAUAAUAGUUGCAGAGCUGCAUUUCUUGAUUACAAGAUAAGCAGUAGAAACACCUCUUUCAGUUGCGACGAUGGAAACCUCGACGACUGCCUCAUCGCCGACGAUUUGGAGGUGGAGUUUUUGCUGGAUUCUGACAUAAGCCGGAUGCUUCAAGAGGGUGGGAAUUCAUUUGCUGGAUAUACAUACACUCCAACUUCGGUACCUGUAUGUAAAAAAGGUCGUUCAUAUAGGAAUUGCAAUUGCCCUCCUUACAAACCACAUAAAAGAGAUGACGAAUGCUAUAAAUAGAUGACGAAUGCUACCGUUAGAUCAUCUGCUUUAUUUCUGCCGUUCAAUCAUCGCUGUUCUGUCUCUUUUUCUCCUCUUUUUUUUUUUUUUUUUCCAAUCCCAUUGUUGUCAUGUUAUUGUCUGAUCAAGAAUGCGUUUCUUCUUACUUCAGUGGGCAACGUAUGUCAGUUUUCGGCAGAAGAAUAAAGAACUUAUGCUUUUGGUUGCUAAUUUUGAUGGCAUUUGUGAAUUAUAUGUAUUUUGGUUGCUCAUUAGUCCCACUAUUAUUAAAACGUUUUAAUUUUUAAAGAUUUGUGUAAUUGAUAAUUAAAUGUUUUUUUUUAAAUAUAAUUAAAUGUUAAUUAAUGCUACAAUUUGAAAAUGAAA
RNAcentral lists this long non-coding RNA (27480 nucleotides) under Jatropha curcas. RNAcentral describes it as "long non-coding RNA (JCUR_LNC002653)". The record is from RNAcentral. Lineage: Eukaryota; Viridiplantae; Streptophyta; Magnoliopsida; Malpighiales; Euphorbiaceae.